RNAcentral lists this ribosomal RNA (571 nucleotides) under uncultured Glomeromycotina. RNAcentral describes it as "SSU rRNA". It matches the Rfam family "Eukaryotic small subunit ribosomal RNA", at positions 548 to 1114 of the family's 1831-position model. The record is from RNAcentral. Lineage: Eukaryota; Fungi; Glomeromycota.
UUGGAGGGCAAGUCUGGUGCCAGCAGCCGCGGUAAUUCCAGCUCCAAUAGCGUAUAUUAAAGUUGUUGCAGUUAAAAAGCUCGUAGUUGAAUCUCGGGAUUGACGUAAUGGUCGUGCCUUAAGGGGUAUGAACUGUUACUGUUGAUUUCUCACCUUCUGGAGAAACUUGAUGUCCUUAAUUGGGUGUCUUGCGGAUCCAGGACCUUUACCUUGAAAAAAUUAGAGUGUUUAAAGCAGGCAUUUUUGCUCGAAUACAUUAGCAUGGAAUAAUAGAAUAGGACGGCAUGGUUCUAUUUUGUUGGUUUCUAGGAUCACCGUAAUGAUUAAUAGGGAUAGUUGGGGGCAUUAGUAUUCAAUUGUCAGAGGUGAAAUUCUUGGAUUUAUUGAAGACUAACUACUGCAAAAGCAUUUGCCAAGGAUGUUUUCAUUAAUCAAGAACGAAAGUUAGGGGACCGAAGACGAUCAGAUACCGUCGUAGUCUUAACCAUAACUAUGCCGACUAGGAAUCAGACGAUGUUAAUUUUUUAAUGACUCGUUUGGCACCUUACGGGAAACCAAAGUGUUUGGGUUC